Molecule: long non-coding RNA, 1133 nt
Organism: Gasterosteus aculeatus (three-spined stickleback)
Lineage: Eukaryota; Metazoa; Chordata; Actinopteri; Perciformes; Gasterosteidae
Source: Ensembl
CUAUGCACCACCUCGCCCCGACUCCCGGUGAGGUGGGCGGGGCCCCGGCAGCCCACCUGCAGUGCCCCCUCUGCGGCCACUUCGCCAAGAGCCACGCCCACCAGCUUACCCACAUGGCAGCGGCCCACCCUGCACGUCUGGAAGGCGUGGCCGUCGGUCGCCUAGGCACCUCAUCUCCAGGCACUGUGAGGACCAGAGGGAGGGGCAGGCAGGGGAGACAGAUGCUCCAGGGAGAAAGAGGAGCAUUGAGGAGGAGCUGCCCCCCCCCCCAGAAGGAGCGCGAUGAGAAGGUGCUGAUGUUUGAUGGCUCCGGCUACCGCUGUCUGAUUUGCGGCUGGAUGAGCAAGCUGAAAGCUCUGGGAGUGAACCACGUAGUAAGAAAGCACGACAUCCCCAAAGCCUACGCCUCCCAGGCCAUCAGGCGGGGCGCCUCCGCGCCUCCCCUGCCCACCGAGGAGGAGGGGGUGGGGGCUGGGCUUAGCGGCGAGCAGCUAAAGGAAGAGAUGGAGGCCACAGCCAAGGUGGUGCGCUUCAUCUCAAACCGCUUUGUGUGCCUGAUCUGUGGCUGGAAGACCAAACUGAAAGAAAACACAGACGAGCAUAAAUCGUUACUGAUUUAUUCCAGAGGGACCUCUCUCUCUCCCCCCCCCCUCCUCCACCUCCUCCUCCUCCUCCUCCUCCACCUCGCUGGCCGCAUGCGACCCGAGAGGAACGAGAACACCGAACGAGGACUUUUGCUGCUUCACGUGUCUCUGCGCAACGUAGAAUGCUUCGCCAUCAGCCACGUGGUGCGCUGCCACGACGUGGAGCGGCCCUACGCCUGCCGCCGCUGCUCACGCCGCUUCUUCCUGCCCAGCCGGCUGCAGCAGCACGUCAGGGCGGAGCACCGGCCCGGCCGCUACGCCUGCCCCUUCUGCUGCUUCAGGUCACACUUCCUGGGGGGGUUCAGGAGGCACUGCAGCCGCUGCAACGCCAGAGAGGAGGAGGACGGGUGGAGAGGGGGGGGCGGAGGGCGGCUGGAGGGGGGGGAGGAGAACGAAGAGGAGGAGGAGGAGGAAGAAGAGAGAAAGGAGAGGAGAGGGUUGAGGAAGAGGAAGAGUGAGAUGGAGGAGAAGGAAGAGGAUGAUAACUAA